Molecule: long non-coding RNA, 378 nt
Organism: Zerene cesonia (dogface butterfly)
Lineage: Eukaryota; Metazoa; Arthropoda; Insecta; Lepidoptera; Pieridae
Exons: 3
Source: RefSeq, a predicted model, not a curated record
ACCAAAAAAUGGUGCAAGUGUCAUUUGAGAAUUGUGAGAUGAGGGUCGUGUUUUGGUUCAUAAUAUGAUUUAUUCAUGAUGUAAAUAAAAUGCGAAAACAGUGUUAUAAAUUAAAAAAUAAAAAAAUUCUAUAUAAUGACUAUAAGUUUAAAGUGAAGAGUGUUUUUCGAAGUGAAUUUUGUUUAGUUUAGAUACGUAGUUCACGUAAAGCACCAAAAUGCAUAAAUACUACCUGUCAUUGCUGCUGGUGCGGUUGGUGCUGCCAGCAGCAUUUCUUUUAAGUAUAGCACUACGACCGUUUGGCCUCUCCCUUAUAUACCUCCUUCUCUACUUAAUAGCACCAUUCCCUCAAGUUCCUGACUCCAAAACGUUUAAAGG